GAUAGCCAUAGUUUGGCAGAAAGAGCAAGGAGGGAGAAAAUAAAUGCUAGGAUGAAGCUGCUGCAGGAAUUGGUCCCCGGUUGCAGCAAGAUAUCAGGCACGGCGCUGGCGUCGGACGAAAUCAUCAACCACGUCCAGUCAUUGCA
This is a long non-coding RNA of Dioscorea cayenensis subsp. rotundata (Guinea yam), 146 nucleotides long. RefSeq lists it as uncharacterized. The record is from RefSeq and is a predicted model, not a curated record. The transcript has 3 exons. Lineage: Eukaryota; Viridiplantae; Streptophyta; Magnoliopsida; Dioscoreales; Dioscoreaceae.